UGUGCUAACUCACGUAAAAGUUGUUUCUAGUCCUUCAUUUUUAUCUUUUUGCAUCUUCAAUAAGUAUGCAUCUAGAAAAUCGUCAGGGUCAUCACUGAGCACA
Molecule: small nucleolar RNA, 103 nt
Organism: Caenorhabditis elegans
Lineage: Eukaryota; Metazoa; Nematoda; Chromadorea; Rhabditida; Rhabditidae
Rfam family: Small nucleolar RNA sn2524
Source: Rfam